This 369-nucleotide transfer-messenger RNA is filed under the name Eggerthellaceae. RNAcentral's name for it is "Aphodovivens avistercoris Standard tmRNA". It matches the Rfam family "transfer-messenger RNA". Rfam says of the family: Bacterial tmRNA, also known as 10Sa RNA or SsrA, is named for its dual tRNA and mRNA-like properties. Its role is to liberate the mRNA from a stalled ribosome. To accomplish this part of the tmRNA is used as a reading frame that ends in a translation stop signal. The record is from RNAcentral. RNAcentral also lists the same sequence under 2 other names. Lineage: Bacteria; Bacillati; Actinomycetota; Coriobacteriia; Eggerthellales.
GGGGGCGACUGGUUUCGACAUGGUAGGCAUGAAGCAGGGAGCAAGCCGUGGUCUCCUCGCCACGCUAAACAGGGGUACCGUCAAGUUAAUUGGCAAGAAGAACUACCAGAGCGCUCCGGCGCUCGCCAUGGCUGCUUAAUCGCGCCUGGCUGUCGUCCUCGGAUCUUCCCCGCUCCGAGGUUCGGCAUCAACCCAGGGGAAUGCGCUUCGGCACGUAGCCGGUAUGGCCGAAGCUAAGAUCGAACCGGCUAGGAGCGGCAACGCCUGUCGAUGGGCCGCGCCUCUCCGAACCCUGAGCAUCGACUAAGCUUGUAGCGCCUUGCGGAUCGUCUAGUAUGGACCGGAGUUCGAUUCUCCGCGCCUCCACCA